This 484-nucleotide ribosomal RNA is filed under the name uncultured bacterium. RNAcentral describes it as "partial 16S ribosomal RNA". It matches the Rfam family "Bacterial small subunit ribosomal RNA", at positions 30 to 507 of the family's 1533-position model. The record is from RNAcentral.
AUUGAACGCUGGCGGCAGGCCUAACACAUGCAAGUCGAGCGGAUGAAGGGAGCUUGCUCCUGGAUUCAGCGGCGGACGGGUGAGUAAUGCCUAGGAAUCUGCCUGGUAUUGGGGGAUAACGUCCGGAAACGGGCGCUAAUACCGCAUACGUCCUGAGGGUGAAGGUGGGGGAUCUUCGGACCUCACGCUAUCAGAUGAGCCUAGGUCGGAUUAGCUAGUUGGUGGGGUAAAGGUCUACCAAGGCGACGAUCCGUAACUGGUCUGAGAGGAUGAUCAGUCACACUGGAACUGAGACACGGUCCAGACUCCUACGGGAGGCAGCAGUGGGGAAUAUUGGACAAUGGGCGAAAGCCUGGUCCAGCGAUGCCGCGUGUGUGAAGAAGGUCUUCGGAUUGUAAAGCACUUUAAGUUGGGAGGAAGGGCAGUAAGUUAAUACCUUGCUGUUUUGACGUUACCAACAGAAUAAGCACCGGCUAACUUCGUG